GAACUGAGCUUUCUGUUUCCUAGCAACAGAAUUCCGCACUCUGCUCAUCUCCCAUCUUCAAUAUCCAUCGUGGUCUCUCCCAGGGCCCUGGGAGCCAGCAGCAUCUGCCCUUGCCUGUGGACUGCAUCCCGCCUGUGUCUUUGUAAUGAGGAGUUUUCGGUACACAAUAGGAACUAGUCAACACACCAACAUCCUGAAGUUUUCCCGCCUGACGGGGAUUCUUUGCUCGAUCAGUCUUUAGUCAUGCUCCCGAACCUUCUUCUAGGCCCGUCUGUGCACUUCCUUGUAAGAUCCAGUUUUAACAAGAACUGUGCACCUGCACCUACGUGCUCAGGAAACAGACGUUGAAUGAAGGAAUGUCCAGAACACAACAGAAGUUCAGAAUGGACAGGAUGAGAUGGAAUGUGUAACACUUUAAAAGUUACCACCUUUUUAACAGGAUUAAAGGCUUAAGUCUAAGGAAUGACAACGUAGAGAUUUGGGCAUCGCUGGGUGGCUCCGCAGACUCUGAUGGAGGGGACCCCUCCCUGGGCGGGGACAGAUGCCAGCCCCGCACAGAGACCAGGGGUUCUGCCGCUCGCCCCCCAGGGUCUCAGGGCAGGUUCUGAGCACUUCCCUGCUGGCAAAGGGAGAUGGAAACUGCAGUUUGGGAAGAUAGCAGAAAGGGAAGGCAGAGUGUUUUAAUUAAACAGGAAUAGAAAAUGUGCGAAAAAUAUCUCCUC
Molecule: long non-coding RNA, 722 nt
Organism: Equus caballus (horse)
Lineage: Eukaryota; Metazoa; Chordata; Mammalia; Perissodactyla; Equidae
Source: RefSeq, a predicted model, not a curated record